CUAUCUUUUAUCUAUUGUAUCCAUCUUUUCCUGUAUUUCUCUUAACAUAGCAAUCAUAAUUAUUUUGAAGUCCUUGUCUUAUAAUUCUUACAUCUGGAUCAUUUAUGGGACUGCUUAUUUUUCCUCUUGAUUAUUAGUCAUAUUUUUUGCCAUUUAUGUCUAAUAAUUUAUUUUUAUUACAUGCUGGACAGUGUGUAUAAAAAAACAAUAGAGGCUCCAGAUGAUUUUCUCUUCCAUCAGGUAGUUUUCCCCCUUUCUUUUGUGAAGUAUAUUAAGGAACUGAUCACCUCAAGCCAAUCAGAGAUCAAGCUGCAUUUGAACUAGGUUGUAGUUUUAGUAAAACUUGGUGUAGCUUUCAUUUGUCCCAGUUUCUCAGGUAUGUCCCUCCCUGACUUUUAAAUGGAAAGCUGUUAAAUUUCUUUCUCUUCAGCCCUGAAAGACUGUGAGAGAUGCAGUUCUGCCACUUCGUAGGCUGUUUUCUUUGUGCCCCAGUGGAGAUCUUCUACAUGGGUCCAGCCCAAUUUUCGGCUGUCACCUAAAAUCAUCAAUGUCUCCCAGGAAGAAAAUGACUGGCAAUUGACAAAUCAUCUUAGAAAGGCUUUUUUUCUCUCUGACUUUUGGUUUAUCCAGCCUGGGUGACAGAGCAAGACUCCGGCUGGGCACGGUGGCUCAUGUCUGUAAGUAAUCCCAGCACUUUGGGAGGCCGAGGUGUGCAGAUCACCUGAGGUCAGGAGUUCGAGACCAGGCUGGCCAACGUAGUGAAACCCCGUCUCUACUAAAAAUACAAGAAUUAGCCAGGUGUGGUGGCAGGCACCUGUAAUCACAGCUAUUCGGGAGGCUCAGGCAGGAGAAUCGCUUGAACCUGGGAGGCAGAAGUUGCAGUGAGCCGAGAUCACAUCACUGCACUCCAGCCUGGGUGACAGAGCAAGACUCCAUCUC
This 939-nucleotide long non-coding RNA is filed under the name Homo sapiens (human). RNAcentral's name for it is "non-protein coding lnc-RRM1-1:1". Lineage: Eukaryota; Metazoa; Chordata; Mammalia; Primates; Hominidae. The record is from RNAcentral.